GGCUGAUCGAGACUAUCGGCUCUCUAUCGACGCACUCGGCUCUCCGCGCGCAUGUGCAGUGUGCGCCGGCGCCGCCAUUGCUGUCCUGUCAGUGAGGCGCUGCGAGCCGGCGGCCGCCCGAGCUGAGCAUGGAGUUCCAGGCCGUGGUGAUGGCGGCGGGAGGCGGUUCCCGUAUGACAGACCUGACCUCCAGCAUCCCCAAGCCGCUGCUCCCCGUGGGCAACCGACCCCUGCUCUGGUACCCGCUGAACCUCCUGGAGCGGGCUGGCUUCGAAGAGGUUAUUGUGAUUACGAGGAAAGAAAUCCAAAAGAUGCUAAACUUGGACACAAAAAUGAAGCUGGAUUUCGUGUGCAUCAGUGACAACAUGGACAUGGGUACAGCAGAUUCACUUAGACAUAUUCACCAGAAAAUUAAGACUGAUGUCUUGGUGUUGAGCUGCGAUUUGAUCACAGAUGUUGAUUUAUAUAAAGUUGUGGAUCUCUUUCGGACUCAUGAUGCUACUCUCUCCAUGCUGAUGAAGAAAACUCAUGAACCCACAGAAGUGGUACCAGGACAGAAAGGGAAAAAAAAGCCAGUGGAGCAGCGCGACUUCAUUGGAGUGGAUGACACAGGAAAAAGAUUGCUCUUCAUGGCUAAUGAAGCUGACUUGGAUGAAGAACUUGUCAUUAAAAGAUCCAUCCUUCAGAAGCACCCCAGAAUGCACAUCAGAACAGGGCUGAUGGAUGCCCAUCUCUACUGUCUGAAGAAAUACGUGGUAGACUUCCUUGUAGAAAACAGAUCAAUCACAUCUCUCCGGAGUGAGCUGAUUCCACAUCUGGUUAGGAAACAGUUCUCUUCUCCUACAUCAUUGCAGCAAGGACUAGACAACAGAGAAGAGGACCAGAAGAAAAAAGAACAAACAUCCCUAGACAUUUACAGUUUCAUAAAGGAAGAUAAUAGCUUGCUGAAACCUGCUGCAGAUAACUCCUGUUGGAAUGAUCAUAGAGGAGAUAUGAAUGAAACUCUCCAUGAAGGAAAAGUGCGCUGCUAUGUCCAUAUAAUGAAAGAGGGACUUUGCUACCGAGUGAAUACUCUUGGUUUGUAUAUUGAAGCUAACCGACAGGUUCCUAAACUAUUGCUUAAUCUGGGUCUGGAAGAGCCGCUGGUUCACGGGACAGCACAGAUCACAGACAGAGGCAUGGUUGGAUCAGACAGCAUCAUUGGGUCAUCCACGCAAGUGGGGGAGAAGACAUCCAUUAAACACUCCAUCAUCGGCAGCAUGUGUACCAUAAAAGACAGAGUUAAGAUAACAAACUGCAUCAUCAUGAAUUCUGUUACGAUUGAGGAAGGGUGCUGUCUUCAGGGCAGUGUCAUUUGUCAUAACGCAAUAAUAGAGAAGGGUGCAGACAUCAAAGACUGUUUGAUUGGAAGUGAUCAGAGGCUGGAAACCAAAGCCAAACAUGUUAAUGAAGUCAUUGUGGGCACUGAACAGCUGAUGGAGAUAUAACCGGAGUAGGUUUUAAAGAUGAUUUUAUGGAAGCCAGCAGCAGAACCAGAUGUUCAAGCAUCGUGUUUGGGGUGAGAUAAAAGUAGAUCCCAAAGUGAGAUUUCGCAGCACAAAUUAUCAAAGUGAAGAUUCACUCUUGAUGCACUCGACGUGUGUGGCAGUAAUUAUGAAAAAUAGUUCAGGAUAAUAGGGCCUUCAGGAAUCCCAAGGCGGGCACUGGGAGGUUAACCCUUCCUCAUCUAACCAGGUCUCCACACUGCUGUCAUCAUCAGGUGAGCAGAUGAUGGGUUGAGUCAGGCAACUUCAGUCAUAAAUGUUACUGUCUUCAAGAGAACUGGGGAGGCGACCAAGGAAAUGAAGUUCUGUUCCCAGUUAUAGAUGUGACUGUUGAUCCUGUGUCCUACACACCUUCAGGAAGGUGUUGCUGGCUGAGCUGCUUAUCAGCUUUGAAGAAUGGGUCACCUCUCACAUAGCAAGUAAGUCUCCUCACUGUGCUGCUCUAUCGUACCCAUGCAGCAGACUGUCACAGCCCGUGCCCAUCACAGUGCUGUUAACACCAAGUUGGUUCUUUAUGUUUCUCUGAGAUGGAACUUCCCAACUCUGUAGGUGCCGGUGCUUUUGGACAGGCUUGUCCUGAGCACUUCCUUGGCAGAUGUACAACCGGGGUUGAUGUGAGAAGGUUCUUGCAGUGGCAUGCCACGUGCUGCAUCUGCACGUGGUGAAGCAGAGGCCUGCCAUGAUGCCCAGUGAGGUCCCCAGCCAGCAGCACCUCUGGCUCCUGGGUGUCACUGGGCAGUGCCCUGGGCAGCAGGUUGGUGUGGGUGCAGAGCCCAGCAGCAGUGUGUGCACACACUGCACCCUACUCCUUCCUGUGAGUCUUGCACCACUAUUACACCAUGAUGGGGGCACCUGAAGCUUUGUCCCUUGCCCUGGCUCCUGUGAGAGGUGGGUACCACCUGCAACAGCUCUGCAGCGAUGUCCUUCCCAAGGUGUUCAUCGUCCUUCAUGUGGGUCAGGAAAAUUCAAUGCACAAAUAGAGGCUGGGUACAGAAUGGAUUGAGAGCAGCCUUGAGGAGGACUUGGUGGUAUUUGUCAGUGAGAAGCUCAACAUGACCCAGCAGUGUGCACUUGCAGAAAGCCAGCCUUCUCCUGGGCUGCAUCCCAAGGAGCAUGACCAGCAGGUCAAGGGAGGGGUUUCUCCUCGUCUACUCCG
Pezoporus flaviventris is the source of this 2700-nucleotide RNA transcript. It is a transcript of the gene named eukaryotic translation initiation factor 2B subunit gamma, with no coding region annotated. The transcript has 13 exons. The record is from RefSeq and is a predicted model, not a curated record. Lineage: Eukaryota; Metazoa; Chordata; Aves; Psittaciformes; Psittacidae.